UUUGCUUCAAGUUGCAUUCUUGUAACUGCAGGAAUAUUGAAUUCUAUGAGUGUUUUUCUUCUCUAUAUGCUCUAUGCUCUGUUUUGGGUACCUUGUUAUUUGACUUACAAAAAUAAAAGAAGCCUUCAAUUGUCGUCCUCAGAUCCUUGUACUUGUAGAUAUUAUUAAAAAAACAGAAUGCAACAAAUCAUAAGAAGACAUAUAUUUAAUUCACCUUAUUAUAUAUAUCAAUCAUCACAAUUUUGUUUAACUUAUGUUAUUCUUUGUUAAUAAUUCUGUGUUUCUUUGCUUAUUGAUAUAGAUGCACUUUGAUGAAGGAUUGUUUGCAAGGCACAAAGGUGGGGAAUCUACUAAGGUUGUCACAAAAGGUCUUAGAGGGAAAAGUGCCUCUAAAAAGCUUACAGAGGAAGGUCUUGUAAAAUUUUCUACUCGGGUAUCAAUCCAGACGAAGGUGUAAAAUUGCAGAGGUUCUUGUUGAGAAGAAUUUUGAUUUGGCAUUCCUAUUGAUCUAUGAAUUCAAUCUUCCUGCUGUUGAUAUAUAUGCCAGUGUUGCUGCAUCUCUUGCUGAGAGAAAAAGAGGCAGCCAAUUGACAGAAUUCUUUAGAAACAUCAAGGGCACAAUAGAUGACGAUGACUGGGAUCAGGAAGGUUCUUGCUUGUGUAAUUUGUGGUCGUUUAAAAAGUACAUUUCAAAUUGCAUCAUAGAGUGGAAGUGUGGCUGAUGUUCAGUAUGUUGCUCAUCAGGCGCUGCAUACAAAUGCACUUCCCGUGCCUGAUAUGUGUUAGCAGUGGUUGGCUCAGUACAUGUAACCUAUUGCUAGAAGAAUCUGAUUGUCCAAAGUGUAUCUGGUCUAUUAAUUCAACAUAUAUGUCUAGAAAGCUGGAGUAAGAUCAUAACCAUUUCUCAAGAGAAGUGGAAAGAACCAAAAGCAAUGGGAAUCAAGUAUUAAUUAUAAAAAUCAAGAGAUCUUAUUUUGUUUCAGUGAUUUCACAGUUCCUGGAUUUUGUUGAAGUGGGUUUCUUGAUCUUGAGGUAUACAAAGAUCCAAGUUGGUCCAACAUAUGUUUGGCACUGCUACUGUUGCCAGGUUUGAAAGAUUGGUGGAAAUAAAUCAUCACAUGCCCUACGCAGAAAUUGGUGCAAUUUUAUCCUUGAAUCUCAUGCAAACACUGAAUUUGGGACCAUCUGAAUGUCAUCAACGAUACGUGAAGUUCUUAAGCACUCAAUGGAAUUGACUCUCUUUCGGCCAACGAAAGUCACUCUUUAAUACGGCAUUGGAAAAGAGAAGUCUACAAUUUUUAGCAAAAUAUUGAUGUUUUUUCAGAAUAGAACAUUUGUACAUGAAUUUUGAGCAUUUUUCAAUGUAUGAAAGUUUUUUUUUU
Molecule: long non-coding RNA, 1382 nt
Organism: Glycine soja
Lineage: Eukaryota; Viridiplantae; Streptophyta; Magnoliopsida; Fabales; Fabaceae
Exons: 5
Source: RefSeq, a predicted model, not a curated record